RNAcentral lists this ribosomal RNA (440 nucleotides) under uncultured bacterium. Its description in RNAcentral is "partial 16S ribosomal RNA". It matches the Rfam family "Bacterial small subunit ribosomal RNA", at positions 338 to 795 of the family's 1533-position model. The record is from RNAcentral.
CCUACGGAUGGCAGCAGUGGGGAAUAUUGCACAAUGGGGGAAACCCUGAUGCAGCGACGCCGCGGGAGUGAAGAAGUAUUUCGGUACGUAAAGACCUAUCAGCAGAGAAGAAAAUGACGGUAACUGACUAAGAAGCACCGGCUAACGACGUGACAGCAGCAGCGGUAAUACGUAGGGGGAAAGCGGUAUCCGGAUUUACGUGGUGUAAAGGGAGCGGAGACGGCAGCGCAAGGCUGGAGUGAAAUCCCAUGGCUUAACCAUGGAACUGCUUUGGAAAAUGUGCAGCUGGAGUGCAGGAGAGGUAAGCGGAAUUCCUAGUGUAGCGGUGAAAUGCGUAGAUAUUAGGAGGAACACCAGUGGCGAAGGCGGCUUACUGGACUGUAACUGACGUUGAGGCUCGAAAGCGUGGGGAGCAAACAGGAUUAGAUACCCUUGUAGUC